RNAcentral lists this ribosomal RNA (496 nucleotides) under uncultured bacterium. RNAcentral describes it as "partial 16S ribosomal RNA". It matches the Rfam family "Bacterial small subunit ribosomal RNA", at positions 30 to 523 of the family's 1533-position model. The record is from RNAcentral.
AUUGAACGCUGGCGGAAUGCUUUACACAUGCAAGUCGAACGGUAGAGGGGGCAACCCCUCGAGAGUGGCGAACGGGUGAGUAAUAUAUCGGAACGUGCCCAGUCGUGGGGGAUAACGUAGCGAAAGCUACGCUAAUACCGCAUACGAUCUGUGAAUGAAAGCGGGGGACCGUAAGGCCUCGCGCGAUUGGAGCGGCCGAUAUCAGAUUAGGUAGUUGGUGGGGUAAAGGCCCACCAAGCCGACGAUCUGUAGCUGGUCUGAGAGGACGACCAGCCACACUGGGACUGAGACACGGCCCAGACUCCUACGGGAGGCAGCAGUGGGGAAUUUUGGACAAUGGGCGCAAGCCUGAUCCAGCAAUGCCGCGUGCAGGAUGAAGGCCUUCGGGUUGUAAACUGCUUUUGUACGGAACGAAAAGGUCUGCACUAAUACUGUGGGCUCAUGACGGUACCGUAAGAAUAAGCACCGGCUAACUACGUGCCAGCCGCCGCAGUAA